AAUCAACGCACCGGGAGCCCAACAAACCCGAUGCAGACAGAAUGUCUCUAUGAAUUCACAGCCUUUUGGUCUCUAAAACAAACAUACAGGGGUUGUUGCAUACAUUUCUCCCCGAAACUCAUUCCGUACUUUUCGAUAGUUAGGGACAGAACUAUUUUUAACACGGUUAGCCCUGCUUUAGCGCAAACCCAAAGGCCUGAAUAUUUAGCUGCCCGGACAGAUUAAAAAAUAUAUUCUGAAUAAGUGAAUCUCUCAUAAUGGAUAUUUCUGGAGCCUUUACGCGAUUUACCGGAUCUGGAGCAACAUGAGGAGGCUCAAAAGUCAGACAGUCAGUCAGUCGCCAUCAGCCUUUUUUCGUUCCGACAUACAGCCAAGAAUGAUAAAGGAUUCGUUAUGGACAUCUGACACUGGGGACUUAGAUGCAAUUCUACCGUUCUGUACGACCGAUUUUUCAAACUCACCGAGAAUACAGGGAACGUCGACUCCCUCCAGACAUAUUCCCGACCCCAACAGGCAACGAACAACUGUGGCCCAAGUACAUUGCUCAGAUUCAACGCCACCCGAAAACUACUGUUGGGCUGGGAACUUGCUGCUUCACGAUCCGGCGCUCCAGGGACACGACUGCCCGGAGACAGCCCCUGCAGAAUCUGGAACGCUAGAGGAAAAAAGUCUAGAGCCCUCAGGAUCCUCAAUUCGUCAGAACAAGCGCCUAAAAAGCCGAGGCUGGAGUUCCGUGGUUGUCAUACGUGAAGAGCUUUGGCGGUCUGCGUUCACUGUUGCGGUCACUUUGAGCUGGUAACAGAGGAGCUGCAACUUCUUUGUCCACGGGUAAGUCCACUGUUUGUUCAACAGGUAAGUCCACUGUUUGUUCCACUUUGAUCUGAGUCUCUUCUGGCAGAGGCAUUGGGUUGUCCACAGAUGUGUCCUGUUCGGGUUCCACUACGUGUUCGGCUGGUUCUACAUCAGUACUUUCACUUCUUUCUGGGUACGUCCAAGACGGUAUUUCAUAUCUGUAGUAUUCAUCAUUGUCCUGUUUGAGUUCUUCCAUUUGUCCGUUCAUUUUGCUUGUUCAUCUUCACUUUGACUUGGAGUUUUGCUGUUUUUGAACUUUCAGAGGAAGGUUGUCAAACAGUAAGAGUAGGUUGUGAUGCAAGUCUCGUCAGACAUUCCUUUUCCUUGCUCUGGUUUCAGUUAGUAGAUUAGAAGGUCUUCUCCCACCUGGCAUACAAGUGUAUGAAUGUUGUCUUCUCAGUGAUUCUGAAGUUUGCCUGUACCUCCACGUGGUGUCAUGUUUCUGAUGAGGAAAUGAUCGCCUGGCUGCAACACUAAAGUUCUGACUUUGCUGUCGUAGUUUCUUUUGCCCGUCGGCUGACUUUUUAAACUUCUCCCUUGCGAUUCCGUAUGCUUCCUGCAUUCCUUAUUUCCAUUUAUUAGUGUACUUCUAAUGAUUGCGGUUUCCUGACCCCGAGUUCAAGUUGAAGAGAACGUUAAUGGGUGGUCUGUAUAUUCGUCAAUACAGGAGGUAAAAUGGAGAGAAUCCUGUCACCUCACAGCGAGUACAGUUGCAUACAUGCAGCAGAUUGAUCAGGGACUCUUUCCAGUUUGUUUUCCCUCUGUCUGUGAUUGUCUUGAGCAUCUAUAAUAAUGUUAUAUUAAUGCGUUCCAUUCCCCUGUGGAUGGUAGGGAGUUGUCCUUAACCCUACAACACUGUACUUUUGUAGGAACUGCAGUAGCUGGUUUUCGAAUUCUCCUACUUGAUUGUGAUAUAUUCUUGUAGGAAAUCCGAACUUCAAAGCGUAGUCAUUGAAGAUCCUGUCAGUCACUGUUUUGCCUGAUUUUAUAGGUUGUAGCAUAGGCCUGGGCAAAGCGUGUGAAAGUGUUGAUUAUCACUCAUAACCGCCCUUGUAUUUGUCUAAGUGGGGAAAGUCUAUUGAUACAAGUUCAAACGACUGAGUUGUCACUAUGUUGGUCAGUGGUGCUCUCAUUUCACAGCAAGGUUUUUUCUCUUUCAGGCAGCUUCUCAUGACACGAUGCUCUAUCUCUCUUUGCAUGUACGGCCACAAGAACCUGUCUCGUAUCAGCAAAGUUGUGCGAUCUACACCCUCCCACUCUGUCUGCCGAAUUCUGUCUCUUUGCUCUUGUUUUCCUUAACAGGAUGUCGGUGGGCGGAGCCGGGAGGGUCGUCAGAGAAAUGGGACACACCUGGGCUCAGGUGUGUCCUAGGAUAAAUACACCACUUCCCCAUUCACAGAGGAGACUCUCUCCAUGCAGACGCAGACAGAAUUUGAUUGUGGCAUUUUUGUGGCUAUUUGGUUUGUUUGCAUUGGCACCUUUCAACACCCCUCAUUAUCACAUGUAUAAACGCGACUACUGACUAAACACACAGCAUUGUUAAUUGUGUUUACUUUACUUCAGUUAAAUAAAUAUAUUUUGUUAUUCUUUAUCUCCACAUUGUCUCCCUUUUUGUUAUGGGCUUUGAGCCGGUUCGUGACAAGUGGGGGCUCAUCCGGG
Molecule: long non-coding RNA, 2511 nt
Organism: Oncorhynchus tshawytscha (Chinook salmon)
Lineage: Eukaryota; Metazoa; Chordata; Actinopteri; Salmoniformes; Salmonidae
Source: Ensembl